Molecule: ribosomal RNA, 450 nt
Filed under: uncultured bacterium
Lineage: Bacteria
Description: partial 16S ribosomal RNA
Rfam family: Bacterial small subunit ribosomal RNA
Source: RNAcentral
GUGGGGAAUUUUGGACAAUGGGCGCAAGCCUGAUCCAGCAAUGCCGCGUGUAGGAAGAAGGCCUUCGGGUUGUAAACUGCUUUUGUACGGAACGAAACGGUCCUGGUUAAUACCUGGGGCUAAUGACGGUACCGUAAGAAUAAGCACCGGCUAACUACGUGCCAGCAGCCGCGGUAAUACGUAGGGUGCAAGCGUUAAUCGGAAUUACUGGGCGUAAAGCGUGCGCAGGCGGUUUUGUAAGACAGGCGUGAAAUCCCCGGGCUCAACCUGGGACUUGGGCUUGGUACUGCAGUGCUGGAGUGCGGCAGAGGGGGAUGGAAUUCCGCGUGUAGCAGUGAAAUGCGUAGAUAUGCGGAGGAACACCGAUGGCGAAGGCAAUCCCCUGGGCCUGCACUGACGCUCAUGCACGAAAGCGUGGGGAGCAAACAGGAUUAGAAACCCCGGUAGUCC